AUGGCGUUCCCUCACCUGCAGCGGCCCAGCUUUCUACUGGCUACCCUGAAAGCUGACUCUGUAAAUAAGCCCUUUGCACAGUGAUGCCAAGACUUGGUUAAAGUCAUUGAGGAUUUUCCAGCAGAGGAGCUGCACGCCAUCUCCCCAUGGCUGGUAGCAUUUUCGGCAGCCUGGAUGGUGUCCUUGUGGGCUGGAACCUGCGCUGCUUACAGAGGCGCGUGAAUCCUGUGAAGUACAGCAUGGUGAUGGAAUUUCUCGACCCUGGGAAGCGGCCCAAUGAUGAAGUUGGUUUAUAAGCUUCAAGCUGAAGACUUAAGUUUGACUUUCCCAUCUCCUACCUGCCCGGUCUCGUGAAGGCAUCCAUCCAGGAGUGCGUCCUUGACAGUCCUCUGUAACACAAGAUCCAGUUCCGCCCAACUAAGGGCCUUGGCCUGAACCUGGCCUUGAAUCCGUUCGAGUAUUACAUAUGCUUCUUUGCCUUGAGCCUCAACACACUAAAGCCACUCCCUGUGUCUCUCCAUGUCCAUAUUUCAGACUGUACCUAUUUCCUCCUGGUGGACAGGUACCUGUCAUGGUUCCUGCCCACCAAAGGCAGCCUGCCACCACCCUCACUGUCCUCCAGCCCAGGAUGGGCCAGUCCCUCACCUGCUCCCAGGACACCAGCCAUGCCCUUUGCUUCCUGUAGCCUCCAGCACACUAGCCCCCUGAAGCGACACUUCUCUCAUCAGAUGUCUGUGAAUGCAGACCCCGCCUCCCAGGAGAUCUGGAGGUCAGAAACUCUGCUCCGGGUUUUUGUCGAAAUGUGGCUUCAACACUAUUCUCUGGAGAUGUACCAAAAAAUGCAGUUCCCCUCAUGCCAAGCUGGAGGUGCUGCACUACCGACUCUGUGUCUCCAGUGCCCACCACAGCCCCCGGCAGCCCAACCUCCAGGCCCUCCACACCUACCAAGAGUCGUUCAUGCCCACCAAGGGGCACAUGCUGGUGGUGCGCCUGCCACUGAAGCACCUGCACGCCUUUGCCGACAGCCUGAAGCCAGAGCAGGUCUCACCUUUCGUCCACUCCCACACCACCAGCCCGCUGGGGGAGUUCAAACAGCCGCUGUCCCGAGGUUAGUCCAGCAGAAACUCUACCUCUUCCUGCGGCAUUGCUUUGGCCACUGGCCCUUGGACGCAUUGUUCAGAGCUGUCCUGGAGGUGUGGCUGAGCUACCUGCAGCCAUGGUGGUAUGCAGCUGACAAGCAGGCUGCCAGCAGCAACUCCCAGCCCCAGUGUGUCUGAGAAAUGGAGCAGCUGUUCCCGGAGCCGGAGCUCGUCAUCCCCCUACCGCCAGCACCGACUCUUCACAGCCUGCACAUUCGCCAGCAGCAUCCUGUCAUAGUGGCCACCAGUGGUCACUGAUGCCUCCUUCAAUGUGAAGAGUCACAUCUAUGGCCUGGAGGGCCAGGACUGCAAGUACACCCGAUGUUCGGGCCCGAGGCUUACACCCUGGUCCUGCACCUUACUCAGCUCAUCACGCAGGCCAAGCACACGGCCAGGUCCAUCUCGGACCAGUGUGUGGAGACUCCAGCUGGCCACUCCUUCCUGUUGUGGCUGGGCUUUGGCCCCACAGACACCAACGGCUCCUAUUCAGCCAUGACCUGGGCGAGAUGGGGCAGGACAGCGUCCAGAAGAUGGACGAGUGCCUGGAGGAGGCCCUGGCGUACCUGCGCCAGAUAUUCCGACUCAGUGAAGUGCAGCUCACGCAGAGUCUCUCACACUUGCCUUGGACACCAUCCAGGAUGAGAAUGGAAAGAAGCAGCUCCGGACUGCAUCGCGGGUGAGGACAGACUCAUCCCCACGCCCCUGGGCCAGUACCAGAUCAUCAACAGGCUGCAAAGGUUUGAAAUUGAGUACCAGGGGGACCCGGAGCUGCAGCCCCUCUGGAGUUAUGAGAUUACCAGCUUGGUCUGAGCAUCCUUCCGGCUGUCAUCUGCCAUCAAACACAGAUCAACCUGCACUUCCUAGGCAGCUACCUGACACUGCCCUGGCUACUGCUGGCUUUCUUCAUGGCCUCUCUGUUCUGCAUCAGGCCCCUCACCUGUGCACUGCUGUUCACCCUGGGCUACGCCCUCUACUCCUUGGCCAUGAUGUUGCUGACCAGGUGGGGAAGCUGCACCAGCCCUGA
RNAcentral lists this long non-coding RNA (2163 nucleotides) under Homo sapiens (human). Its description in RNAcentral is "non-protein coding lnc-PI4KA-3:3". The record is from RNAcentral. Lineage: Eukaryota; Metazoa; Chordata; Mammalia; Primates; Hominidae.